UAGGGAAUCUUCGGCAAUGGACGAAAGUCUGACCGAGCAACGCCGCGUGAGGGAAGAAGGUCUUCGGAUCGUAAAACUCUGUUGUUAGUGAAGAACAAGGACGUUUGUAACUGAACGUCCCCUGACGGUACCUAACCAGAAAGCCACGGCUAACUACGUGCCAGCAGCCGCGGUAAUAAGUAGGUGGCCAGCGUUGUCCGGAUUUAUUGGGCGUAAAGCGAGCGUAGGCGGUUUCUUAAGUCUGAUGUGAAAGCCCCCGGCUCAACCGGGGAGGGUCAUUGGAAACUGGGAGACUUGAGUGCAGAAGAGGGGAGUGGAAUUCCAUGUGUAGCGGUGAAAUGCGUAGAUAUAUGGAGGAACAACAGUGGCGAAGGCGGCUCUCUGGUCUGUAACUGACGCUGAGGCGCGAAAGCGUGGGGAGCAAACAGG
RNAcentral lists this ribosomal RNA (429 nucleotides) under Gemmatimonadota bacterium. RNAcentral describes it as "Gemmatimonadetes bacterium partial 16S ribosomal RNA". It matches the Rfam family "Bacterial small subunit ribosomal RNA", at positions 355 to 776 of the family's 1533-position model. The record is from RNAcentral. Lineage: Bacteria; Pseudomonadati; Gemmatimonadota.